Molecule: transfer RNA, 77 nt
Filed under: Alphaproteobacteria bacterium GWF2_58_20
Lineage: Bacteria; Pseudomonadati; Pseudomonadota; Alphaproteobacteria
Also listed under: 1 other name
Description: tRNA-Arg
Rfam family: tRNA
About the family: Transfer RNA (tRNA) molecules are approximately 80 nucleotides in length. Their secondary structure includes four short double-helical elements and three loops (D, anti-codon, and T loops).
Source: RNAcentral
GCGCACAUAGCUCAGCUGGAUAGAGCACAAGCCUUCUAAGCUUGGGGUCGCAGGUUCAAGUCCUGCUGUGCGCGCCA